UUGUCAUCGUCGUUUUCUUCCG
Molecule: non-coding RNA, 22 nt
Filed under: Arabidopsis thaliana (thale cress)
Lineage: Eukaryota; Viridiplantae; Streptophyta; Magnoliopsida; Brassicales; Brassicaceae
Source: RNAcentral